RNAcentral lists this ribosomal RNA (446 nucleotides) under uncultured bacterium. Its description in RNAcentral is "partial 16S ribosomal RNA". It matches the Rfam family "Bacterial small subunit ribosomal RNA", at positions 338 to 795 of the family's 1533-position model. The record is from RNAcentral.
CCUACGGGAGGCAGCAGUCGAGAAUCAUUCACAAUGGGGGAAACCCUGAUGGUGCGACGCCGCGUGGGGGAAUGAAGGUCUUCGGAUUCUACACCCCUGUCAUGUGGGAGUAAAUUAAAAAGAUAGUACCACAAGAGGAAGAGACGGCUAACUCUGUGCCAGUAGCCGCGGUAAUACAGAGGUCUCCAGCGUUGUACGGAAGCACUGGGCGUAAAGCGUGCGUAGGCUGUUUCGUAAGUCGUGUGUGAAAGUAGGGGGCUCAACCCGUGGACUGCACAUGAUACUGCGAGAUUAGAGUAAAGGAGAGGUAGCCGGAAUUCGCGGUGUAGCAGUGAAAUGAGUAGAUAUCGAGAGGAACACUGGUGGCGAAGGCGGGUUCCUGGACAUUAACUGACGCUGAGGCACGAAGGCCAGGGGAGCGAAAGGGAUUAGAUACCCUUGUAGUC